GUGCCAGCCGCCGCGGUAAUACCGGCAGCCCGAGUGAUGGCCGAUCUUAUUGGGCCUAAAGCGUCCGUAGCUGGCUGCGCAAGUCCGUCGGGAAAUCCACUCGCCCAGCGAGUGGGCGUCCGACGGAAACUGCACAGCUUGGGACCGGAAGGCUCGAAGGGUACGUUCGGGGUAGGAGUGAAAUCCUAUAAUCCCGCACGGACCACCGAUGGCGAAAGCACGUCGCGAAGACGGAUCCGACAGUGAGGGACGAAAGCUAGGGUCUCGAACCGGAUUAGAAACCCCUGUAGUCC
Molecule: ribosomal RNA, 293 nt
Filed under: uncultured bacterium
Lineage: Bacteria
Description: partial 16S ribosomal RNA
Rfam family: Archaeal small subunit ribosomal RNA
Source: RNAcentral